UGUGCCUCAUUGAUUUUCAUUGAGC
This 25-nucleotide microRNA is filed under the name Octopus vulgaris (common octopus). RNAcentral's name for it is "Ovu-Mir-12576_5p (mature (co-guide))". The record is from RNAcentral. Lineage: Eukaryota; Metazoa; Mollusca; Cephalopoda; Octopoda; Octopodidae. RNAcentral also lists the same sequence under 1 other name.